This 411-nucleotide ribosomal RNA is filed under the name uncultured bacterium. RNAcentral's name for it is "bacterial SSU rRNA". It matches the Rfam family "Bacterial small subunit ribosomal RNA", at positions 74 to 484 of the family's 1533-position model. The record is from RNAcentral.
UUGCUUCUUUGCUGACGAGUGGCGGACGGGUGAGUAAUGUCUGGGAAACUGCCUGAUGGAGGGGGAUAACUACUGGAAACGGUAGCUAAUACCGCAUAACGUCGCAAGACCAAAGAGGGGGACCUUCGGGCCUCUUGCCAUCGGAUGUGCCCAGAUGGGAUUAGCUAGUAGGUGGGGUAACGGCUCACCUAGGCGACGAUCCCUAGCUGGUCUGAGAGGAUGACCAGCCACACUGGAACUGAGACACGGUCCAGACUCCUACGGGAGGCAGCAGUGGGGAAUAUUGCACAAUGGGCGCAAGCCUGAUGCAGCCAUGCCGCGUGUAUGAAGAAGGCCUUCGGGUUGUAAAGUACUUUCAGCGGGGAGGAAGGGAGUAAAGUUAAUACCUUUGCUCAUUGACGUUACCCGCAG